GGGUGCAAUCAUACCAUUAAUAAUGUACCAGAUCUCAUAAGAACUCCGAAGUUAAACUUGCUUGGGUGAGAAUAGUACUAUAAUGGGUGACCUCCUAGGAAAAUGGGUUGCGACGAAAUG
RNAcentral lists this ribosomal RNA (120 nucleotides) under Rosa chinensis. Lineage: Eukaryota; Viridiplantae; Streptophyta; Magnoliopsida; Rosales; Rosaceae. The record is from RNAcentral.